GGGCGCGUAGCUCAAUUGGCAGAGCAAGUGACUCUUAAUCACUAGGUUGCAGGUUCGAUUCCUGCCGCGCUCACCA
Molecule: transfer RNA, 76 nt
Filed under: Acidobacteriota bacterium
Lineage: Bacteria; Pseudomonadati; Acidobacteriota
Also listed under: 4 other names
Description: Acidobacteria bacterium (groundwater metagenome) tRNA-Lys
Rfam family: tRNA
About the family: Transfer RNA (tRNA) molecules are approximately 80 nucleotides in length. Their secondary structure includes four short double-helical elements and three loops (D, anti-codon, and T loops).
Source: RNAcentral